AAGGAAAUAAAUUAUAAAUUAAAUGCAUAAGUGAAAUAAUAAAGUUAGGGUUUAUAUUCCUUACACAAUAAUUCAGAAUACCUAAUAGAGCUACGGGAAUGACCAUUCUAAAAUAAUAAAUGAAAAAUUAAGGAAAUAAACGGAAAGUAAAUAACUGAGCAUCCUAUUCACAACCUUUUUGUAGAUCGGGAUCUGGAUCUUGGUCCUCUUG
RNAcentral lists this long non-coding RNA (211 nucleotides) under Carica papaya (papaya). Its description in RNAcentral is "long non-coding RNA (CPAP_LNC011728)". The record is from RNAcentral. Lineage: Eukaryota; Viridiplantae; Streptophyta; Magnoliopsida; Brassicales; Caricaceae.